This 720-nucleotide ribosomal RNA is filed under the name Bacillus cereus. Its description in RNAcentral is "bacterial SSU rRNA". It matches the Rfam family "Bacterial small subunit ribosomal RNA", at positions 51 to 751 of the family's 1533-position model. The record is from RNAcentral. Lineage: Bacteria; Bacillati; Bacillota; Bacilli; Caryophanales; Bacillaceae.
CUAUAAUGCAAGUCGAGCGAAUGGAUUGAGAGCUUGCUCUUAUGAAGUUAGCGGCGGACGGGUGAGUAACACGUGGGUAACCUGCCCAUAAGACUGGGAUAACUCCGGGAAACCGGGGCUAAUACCGGAUAACAUUUUGAACUGCAUGGUUCGAAAUUGAAAGGCGGCUUCGGCUGUCACUUAUGGAUGGACCCGCGUCGCAUUAGCUAGUUGGUGAGGUAACGGCUCACCAAGGCAACGAUGCGUAGCCGACCUGAGAGGGUGAUCGGCCACACUGGGACUGAGACACGGCCCAGACUCCUACGGGAGGCAGCAGUAGGGAAUCUUCCGCAAUGGACGAAAGUCUGACGGAGCAACGCCGCGUGAGUGAUGAAGGCUUUCGGGUCGUAAAACUCUGUUGUUAGGGAAGAACAAGUGCUAGUUGAAUAAGCUGGCACCUUGACGGUACCUAACCAGAAAGCCACGGCUAACUACGUGCCAGCAGCCGCGGUAAUACGUAGGUGGCAAGCGUUAUCCGGAAUUAUUGGGCGUAAAGCGCGCGCAGGUGGUUUCUUAAGUCUGAUGUGAAAGCCCACGGCUCAACCGUGGAGGGUCAUUGGAAACUGGGAGACUUGAGUGCAGAAGAGGAAAGUGGAAUUCCAUGUGUAGCGGUGAAAUGCGUAGAGAUAUGGAGGAACACCAGUGGCGAAGCGACUUUCUGGUCUGUAACUGACACUGAGG